This 453-nucleotide ribosomal RNA is filed under the name uncultured bacterium. RNAcentral describes it as "bacterial SSU rRNA". It matches the Rfam family "Bacterial small subunit ribosomal RNA", at positions 339 to 797 of the family's 1533-position model. The record is from RNAcentral.
GUACGGGAGGCAGCAGUGGGGAAUUUUGCGCAAUGGGCGAAAGCCUGACGCAGCAACGCCGCGUGGAGGAUGAAGGUCUUCGGAUCGUAAACUCCUGUCAGGGGGGACGAAAGCCCGCAAGGGUCUGACUGUACCCCCUGAGGAAGCCACGGCCAACUCCGUGCCAGCAGCCGCGGUAAUACGGAGGUGGCGAGCGUUGUUCGGAAUUACUGGGCGUAAAGGGCGCGUAGGCGGCUUGGCAAGUCGGAUGUGAAAUCCCCGAGCUUAACUUGGGAAUUGCAUCUGAAACUGCUUUGCUUGAGUCCUGGAGGGGGUAGUGGAAUUCCCAGUGUAGCGGUGAAAUGCGUAGAUAUUGGGAGGAACACCGGUGGCGAAGGCGGCUACCUGGACAGUGACUGACGCUGAUGCGCGAAAGCUAGGGGAGCGAACGGGAUUAGAUACCCUUGUAGUCAC